Molecule: long non-coding RNA, 718 nt
Organism: Neogobius melanostomus (round goby)
Lineage: Eukaryota; Metazoa; Chordata; Actinopteri; Gobiiformes; Gobiidae
Source: Ensembl
AUGGCGUUUUUAUAUAAACUAUCUUCACCGGUGUCAAACAAUGAACCCAUUUAUGUUGCAGGUCACGGAAAUCGGGAAGCUCUAUCCCAGACCAUGGAGGUUGCGACUGCUCCAAGCGUCUGCUCCAGGGUCUGGACAGAGACUGUUCAGGAAGUGUCCAUGGGUAAGUGUUGGCUCAGGUCGAGACUAGGGCUGCACAAUAUUGCAAGUUAUUUGGAGAUAUUAAACAAGGUCUAUAUUAAAGGAAUAGGCCAUCGUUUUUACAUGCUAAGCUAUGUUCUUAGCUUAGACGAGUUCAUUUGUACCUGUCUGAGCUCCACGUGUGCCUUCAGUAACGUAAACACAGCACAGACAGCGUUAGCAUUUAGCCUCUCUCCUCUCCUCUAUAGCUCCAAACGAGGUGAAGAUAGAAGCUACCAAACUCUUCCACGUUUUCCCUAUUUAAAUAUGGUUACGUGAAGCGUUACACUACAAAGUAUAAUUACACAAAAUUAAACAGUGGAUUUUCUAAGCGGAUAAAAAGGGAACUAUAUUGUAAGGCGUAAUAAUACCAGGAGUAAUUCAUUCAUUCAUUCAUUUACUUAUUUAUUUCAGGCAGAAGGCAACAAAAGAAGACUAUACAGCAGGGGUCACGAAUUAAAUUUCACCAAGGUCCGAAAUGAAAAAAAAUGGUCAAGCAAAGGUCCGGAACAUACGGGGUUAAUUCACGGUUAUAUCA